RNAcentral lists this ribosomal RNA (291 nucleotides) under uncultured Sphingobacteriales bacterium. RNAcentral describes it as "partial 16S ribosomal RNA". It matches the Rfam family "Bacterial small subunit ribosomal RNA", at positions 1090 to 1381 of the family's 1533-position model. The record is from RNAcentral. Lineage: Bacteria; Pseudomonadati; Bacteroidota; Sphingobacteriia; Sphingobacteriales.
UAACGAGCGCAACCCUUAUCGUUAGUUGCCAUCUGGUAAUGCAGGGGACUCUAGCGAAACUGCCACCGUAAGGUGAGAGGAAGGUGGGGAUGACGUCAAAUCAGCACGGCCCUUAUGUCCAGGGCUACACACGUGUUACAAUGGUCGGUACAGAGGGCAGCUACCUGGUGACAGGAUGCUAAUCUCGAAAACCGGUCUCAGUUCGGAUCGAAGUCUGCAACUCGACUUCGUGAAGCUGGAUUCGCUAGUAAUCGCAGAUCAGCACGCUGCGGUGAAUAAGUUCUCGGGUUU